CGUAGGGUGCGAGCGUUAAUCGGAAUUACUGGGCGUAAAGCGUGCGCAGGCGGUUUAGUAAGACAGGCGUGAAAUCCCCCGGGCUCAACCUGGGAACUGCGCUUGUGACUGCUAAGCUAGAGUACGGCAGAGGGGGGUGGAAUUCCACGUGUAGCAGUGAAAUGCGUAGAGAUGUGGAGGAACACCAAUGGCGAAGGCAGCCCCCUGGGUCGAUACUGACGCUCAUGCACGAAAGCGUGGGUAGCAAACAGGAUUAGAUACCCUGGUAGUCCACGCCCUAAACGAUGUCAACUAGGUGUUGGGAGGGUAAAACCUUUUAGUACCGGAGCUAACGCGUGAAGUUGACCGCCUGGGGAGUACGGCCGCAAGGUUA
Molecule: ribosomal RNA, 373 nt
Filed under: uncultured organism
Description: bacterial SSU rRNA
Rfam family: Bacterial small subunit ribosomal RNA
Source: RNAcentral